UACAGAGGUCCCAAGCGUUGUUCGGAUUCAUUGGGCGUAAAGGGUGCGUAGGCGGCGCGGUAAGUCGGGUGUGAAAUCUCGGAGCUUAACUCCGAAACUGCAUUCGAUACUGCCGUGCUUGAGGACUGGAGAGGAGACUGGAAUUUACGGUGUAGCGGUGAAAUGCGUAGAUAUCUGGAGGAAUACCGGUGGCGAAGGCGGCAUCCUGGACCGGCAUUGACGCUGAACAGCGAAAGCUAGGGGAGCAAACGGG
RNAcentral lists this ribosomal RNA (253 nucleotides) under uncultured bacterium. RNAcentral describes it as "partial 16S ribosomal RNA". It matches the Rfam family "Bacterial small subunit ribosomal RNA", at positions 524 to 776 of the family's 1533-position model. The record is from RNAcentral.